This 1015-nucleotide ribosomal RNA is filed under the name Sticta damicornis. RNAcentral describes it as "SSU rRNA". It matches the Rfam family "Bacterial small subunit ribosomal RNA", at positions 137 to 1165 of the family's 1533-position model. The record is from RNAcentral. Lineage: Eukaryota; Fungi; Ascomycota; Lecanoromycetes; Peltigerales; Lobariaceae.
UUAGGGACACAAAUCCCUAAUAUUAACAAAGAAACAAACUUGUAUUCGCUCUAAGAAUUUUUAAUCUCGUGUAGUAGUAGUUAAGGUAAACUUGAACUAGCUUUAUUGUAUACACGUAGUCGAAACUGAAAGGUUGAUCGAUCACAAUGUGGCCUGAACAAAGCCCAUGACAAAAGUAGCAGCAGUGAGGAAUAUUGGUCAAUAGCCUAACGGCUGAACCAGCAACUUGGAAGAAUGAAAAGCAAUAGCUGAUUGCAUUUAAUUUAAUGUAAUUACUACUUGGUAGUUUAAAUUUCUAGGUAGAAUUAUGAUGGUGACAUUAUCUAUCUAUUAGUCUUGACCAAAUUACGUGCCAGCAGUCGCGGUAAUACGUAGAAGACAAGUGUUAUUCAUCUUUAUUGGGUUUAAAGAGUACCAAGACGGUUAAUAAAGCCCAAAAUAAAUGAAUACGGGGGACACAUUAACUAGAGUUAUAUGAAAGGAAGCUCUAAGGUACUGUUGAGUGUAGAGAUGAAAUUUUUUGAUACCAGAUGAUUGGCACAGAUUGAUGCGAAGGCAUCUUCUUAUGUAAUAACUGACGUUGUAGGACGAAGGCUUAGUAUGUGAACAGGAUUAGGUACCCCAGUAAUCUAGGCAGAAAAUGAUGAAUGUCAUAGGUUGAAUACAGACAGGUUAAAUUGACUAUCUAAUAGUAACUAGGUGGUAUAUUAAUCAGUCUAUUAUUGUGUCUAUAAAUGAAAGUGUAAGCAUUCCACCUCAAGAGUAAUUUGGCAACAUUGGAACUGAAAUCAUUAGACCGUUUCUGAAACCAGUAGUGAAGUAUGUUGUUUAAUUAGAUGAUACACAAAAACCUUACCACAAUUUGAAUAUAUAUAUAAAAUAUAUUUACAAGCGCUGCACGGCUGUYUACAGUUAAUGUCGUGAGACUUUGGUUAGCUCCAGUAAAUUGACGUAAACCCUAAUUUUAUUUAUAAAUAAAAUUAWCAUUGAUAUAAUUGAUGUUUAAUAGGGAACA